AUUACUAGUCACACAGAGAAAGGGCUAGGGGCUAAAUGAGCUGCACUGAUGGUAAAUGCUGAUAGAGGCCUAUGGAGGGGACCUUGUGGCCCAGGGCAGCAAGAAAUGCUGCAUUGGAGAGAUGGGGUACAUGCGAGUGACAAUGGGAAGAGUUGGUAGCUGGAGAGAACUGGGAAAGCCUUCAGAAACGUGGGGCUAAAAUAAGCCCAGAAGCUGAGGAAGGGCUGAGUCAGACCCUCAGAGUGGAGCAAUCACUGCACGGCUGCUCCUUGUAAGAAACAUCCCGUUGCGCCUGAGUUGUUUAUUGCCAGGAGCUGUAAGUGAAAAAUGAGCUCUCUUAAGCCAGGCUGGGAGCAGGCUCCUCUUCCUGGAGAUGGCACGAUGCUUCACAGCUUGGAAACGUUCUGUGCCAGUAUAAAAGGGGUGGCAUACAUCCCUCGGAGCAGGAAAGCCUGAUGACAAAGGGGAAGGAGCCUGGGCUGGAAGCCAAGUGGCACUAGGGUUAGUCUCAACUUCAUUGCUUACCAGAUAUGUCAAAUGAAUGAUACCCUUACCUGCUGAGAGUCUACCUUUUCUCAGUUGCAAGAUUAAAAUGUAAGCCAGAUGAUGUCUGAGUUUCUUUCUGGCCCCGGCUUUCUUUUGGUUUGUCCAAGCAGCUCCGCAAACUCACUCUCAGGCCCUAAAUGAUGUGGGCUGUUAACGGUGGAGAAAGGAAUUCCGACGUGGCCUAUGGCAGCCGUUGCUUCAUUGAGUCUGGUUCAGUCAGCACCCACUGAUUGGGCACCUCUGCUGUCCAGGCAUCUGGGAAAUGGCUGGGGAUACAGAGGUGAAGAAGACAGGGUUUCUUCAGGAACUCACUUUCCAGCAGGUGAGAGUAUGAGUAGAAAAGGUGGACAAAACAAAAAGCUGCUUAACAACACAAACUCCUUUGCUAAGCCCUGAAUGAAUGAUCCGGACAAGCUGCUCAGAAUGAGGAACGGUUCACAAGA
RNAcentral lists this long non-coding RNA (989 nucleotides) under Homo sapiens (human). RNAcentral describes it as "HSALNT0405800". Lineage: Eukaryota; Metazoa; Chordata; Mammalia; Primates; Hominidae. The record is from RNAcentral.